RNAcentral lists this transfer RNA (82 nucleotides) under Gloeochaete wittrockiana. RNAcentral describes it as "tRNA-Leu". It matches the Rfam family "tRNA". Rfam says of the family: Transfer RNA (tRNA) molecules are approximately 80 nucleotides in length. Their secondary structure includes four short double-helical elements and three loops (D, anti-codon, and T loops). Further hydrogen bonds mediate the characteristic L-shaped molecular structure. tRNAs have two regions of fundamental functional importance: the anti-codon, which is responsible for specific mRNA codon recognition, and the 3' end, to which the tRNAs corresponding amino acid is attached (by aminoacyl-tRNA synthetases). tRNAs cope with the degeneracy of the genetic code in two manners: having more than one tRNA (with a specific anti-codon) for a particular amino acid; and 'wobble' base-pairing, i.e. permitting non-standard base-pairing at the 3rd anti-codon position. The record is from RNAcentral. Lineage: Eukaryota; Glaucocystophyceae; Gloeochaetales; Gloeochaetaceae.
ACUCGCUUGGUGAAAUGGUAAACACGAUAGAUUUAAAAUCUGUUCCUCUAGUGGGUUAUUGGUUCAAGUCCGAUAGCGAGUA